RNAcentral lists this long non-coding RNA (1137 nucleotides) under Gossypium barbadense (sea-island cotton). RNAcentral describes it as "long non-coding RNA (GBAR_LNC013457)". Lineage: Eukaryota; Viridiplantae; Streptophyta; Magnoliopsida; Malvales; Malvaceae. The record is from RNAcentral.
UGAAAUAUAUGUGGCUGAGCCACAAAAUACGGCAGAUUAUUAAAUUGCUCAUACUUCUUCCAUAUAACAAAUCCCAUGCCAGAUGCAAAUGUAGAACUAAUAGAUAGCAAAUAUGUUUAUGAUAUAAUGCUCAUCAUGGCAGAUACAGGACAUACCCAACAUUUUUCAGGUUGUAAAUAUCAUAUCACGAGUUUUACUUAUUGUAAAUUAUAUCAUACAAGCAUACAUUUAACUUAUUUUAUUCUACCAGAUGGUUUGAUUUCAUGUUUUAUAGCUUAAUUGAUCACAUGUUGACCCUACAGUAGGCCUACGUUCGAUCCAAACGAUACUUACGGUCCUAUGAAAAAUUUAGAAUUUCGGACCCACACGCUCGUGUGGCCCACACGGCCUAAACGACUAGCCCGUGUGACCCAUAUAGUUUGACACAUGGGCACACACACGCCCGUGUGGUUUACACUGCCCAAAUAGCCCAAAUCAUGUGUCUCACAUAGUCCAACACACGGCCUGUCACACAGCCAUGUGUUACACACGGUCUGUGUGGCGUCGACAGUGCAAUUUUUCAACUUUCAUUUUUUUUUGAAUUUCUCGUUACACACCUCAUUCAAUUUUGACGAGUAAUCAAUAGCGAGAUUUCCAUAACCUAAAAACAUCAUUUAACACGGUUAAUCAAUGACAAUUCCUCAAUUUUACCAAAUAACCCCCAUAAUCACAAUGCAAAUAACGACAUUACUAAAUUGGAAAUUGAACACUAAAGCAUUCAAAAACUUACCCAAUCGACCGCAACAACUCCUAAUACUAAUUCGCAGGAGGGAAAUUCCAAUUUUCACGAUCGAUACCUAACAACAAAAAUUCUUUGCAAGAGUAAACCCAUGUAACAAACCAAAUAAUCAACUCACCCUACAAGAACCCUUAAUAAAAACCAUCAACUAAAUUCAAUUACACACACCUUCAUAACGAACAAGAAAGAAAACAAGAUUAAAAGAAACAUUACUUAUGCCAAAAUGGAAUAGCAAACGGAUCAACACAAAGACAAAGAACAAAAGAAUAAAGAAGACUUGGAGCAGCAAGAUGAAGAUAGGAAGAAUGGAAAAGUGAGAGAAGAGCUUCAGAGAACGUGAAAACAAUCGGCAAAAAAUC